RNAcentral lists this ribosomal RNA (253 nucleotides) under uncultured bacterium. Its description in RNAcentral is "partial 16S ribosomal RNA". It matches the Rfam family "Bacterial small subunit ribosomal RNA", at positions 524 to 776 of the family's 1533-position model. The record is from RNAcentral.
UACGAAGGGGGCUAGCGUUGCUCGGAAUCACUGGGCGUAAAGGGUGCGUAGGCGGGUCUUUAAGUCAGGGGUGAAAUCCUGGAGCUCAACUCCAGAACUGCCUUUGAUACUGAGGAUCUUGAGUUCGGGAGAGGUGAGUGGAACUGCGAGUGUAGAGGUGAAAUUCGUAGAUAUUGGGAAGAACACCAGUGGCGAAGGCGGCUCACUGGCUCGUAACUGACGCUCAUGCACGACAGCGUGGGGAUCAAACAGG